Molecule: small nuclear RNA, 107 nt
Filed under: Microcebus murinus (gray mouse lemur)
Lineage: Eukaryota; Metazoa; Chordata; Mammalia; Primates; Cheirogaleidae
Source: RNAcentral
AUGCUCGUUUCCGCAGCACAUAUACUAAAAUUGGAAUUAUUCAGAGGAGAUUAGCAUGGCCCAUGUGCAAGGAUGACACACAGUUCUGUGUAGUAUUCCAUAUUAAA